RNAcentral lists this ribosomal RNA (195 nucleotides) under uncultured bacterium. Its description in RNAcentral is "partial 16S ribosomal RNA". It matches the Rfam family "Bacterial small subunit ribosomal RNA", at positions 338 to 525 of the family's 1533-position model. The record is from RNAcentral.
CCUACGGGAGGCAGCAGUGGGGAAUAUUGCACAAUGGGCGCAAGCCCGAUGCAGCCAUGCCGCGUGUAUGAAGAAGGCCUUCGGGUUGUAAAGUACUUUCAGCAGUGAGGAAGGGGAUGUCGUUAAUAGCGGCAUCUCUUGACGUUAGCUGCAGAAGAAGCACCGGCUAACUCCGUGCCAGCAGCCGCGGUAAUA